Astyanax mexicanus (Mexican tetra) is the source of this 1081-nucleotide long non-coding RNA. RefSeq lists it as uncharacterized. Lineage: Eukaryota; Metazoa; Chordata; Actinopteri; Characiformes; Acestrorhamphidae. The transcript is spliced from 2 exons. The record is from RefSeq and is a predicted model, not a curated record.
UUUUUAUUGAUACAGUUUGCAGAAAACAUUCUUGAAGGAAAAAGCUGUGUAGAACAAUAUGGAGUUUUAGGUAUGUGUGUGAGAGUGAGUGUGAUACAGAUUAAAAUCUAGACAUAUUCUAUAUUUUUGUACAGAUCGCACUCAGAAGAGCUCCAGUUCCUGGGACCCAUUGACUGCAAAAGAUAAGGUGCAGUGCCAGAAGUGUAAGGCUUGCUACUACACAGAUGUUCGAAUACGGCAUGUGGCAUCUGUGCUGUAUGUGAAAGUAGGUAAUAUGUAGUGAGUACAUUACCUGUCAAAGGUAGCUUAACAAGUACAUUGGUAGGCCAUUUAGCUACAGAGUAUUUUUGUGAUAAUGAUAUUCUUGGUGACAAUAACUGAAAUGUUUAGUUUAAUUUAAUUUAAAUAAUAACUUCUUAAAAAAAAAUAAAAAAUGUUUUUUUAUAGUAUAAGACACACACAAAGUUCUGGAAAAAAAAAUCAAGAUUGAUCACAAGCAAUCAAACCAAACUGAACUGCUUGAAUUUUUGCACCAGGAGUGGCCUAAAGUUAUCCAAAGGCAGUGUGUAAGACCGGUGGAGGAGAGCAUGAUGCCAAGAUGCAUGAAAACUGAUUAAAAACCAGGGUUAUUCCACCAAAUAGAUUUUUUUUAGGUCUAUAAGCUCUGCAUCUUUUUAUUUCAGCCAUUUCUUUUCUGCAGAUAAAUGCUCUAAAUGACUUUUUUGUAAUUUGGGAGAAAUAUUGCCGUAGUUUCUAGAAUAAAACAUAUCUAUAAAAAGCAAAAUCAGAGAAACGGAUUCAGAAACUGAAGUGGUGUAUUAAUCAUUUCCAGAGCUCGCUCUGUGUGUGUGUCUCUUUCUCUCUACAUAAUUUGGAAUAUUAGACCAUGUUAGCCCUUAUAAAUCAGACCAUCCCUGUAUUAAGGGGUAAGAGUGAGAUGUUAGCCUAGUGCUUUGUUUUUUUAGUUGCAGUAUUCUUUUACCAAUGUCUAACUUUUUUCCCCAUGGUCAUUUAAAUGUGUGUAAUAAAAAAAAGGUGUCUUAUUCCAGUUUGUUCUUUUAAUAAAACGUUGCUUAAAGAA